This 253-nucleotide ribosomal RNA is filed under the name uncultured bacterium. RNAcentral describes it as "partial 16S ribosomal RNA". It matches the Rfam family "Bacterial small subunit ribosomal RNA", at positions 524 to 776 of the family's 1533-position model. The record is from RNAcentral.
UACAGAGGGGGCAAGCGUUGUUCGGAACUACUGGGCGUAAAGGGCGCGUAGGCGGCCUGUUAAGUCGAACGUGAAAUCCCCGGGCUCAACCCGGGAACUGCGUCCGAUACUGGCAGGCUUGAAUUCGGGAGAGGGAUGCGGAAUUCCAGGUGUAGCGGUGAAAUGCGUAGAUAUCUGGAGGAACACCGGUGGCGAAGGCGGGUCUCUGGGCCGAUACUGACGCUGAGGAGCGAAAGCGUGGGGAGCGAACAGG